Molecule: transfer RNA, 72 nt
Organism: Ovis aries (sheep)
Lineage: Eukaryota; Metazoa; Chordata; Mammalia; Artiodactyla; Bovidae
Rfam family: tRNA
About the family: Transfer RNA (tRNA) molecules are approximately 80 nucleotides in length. Their secondary structure includes four short double-helical elements and three loops (D, anti-codon, and T loops). Further hydrogen bonds mediate the characteristic L-shaped molecular structure. tRNAs have two regions of fundamental functional importance: the anti-codon, which is responsible for specific mRNA codon recognition, and the 3' end, to which the tRNAs corresponding amino acid is attached (by aminoacyl-tRNA synthetases). tRNAs cope with the degeneracy of the genetic code in two manners: having more than one tRNA (with a specific anti-codon) for a particular amino acid; and 'wobble' base-pairing, i.e. permitting non-standard base-pairing at the 3rd anti-codon position.
Source: Rfam
UCCCUGGUGGCUCAGAUGGUAAAGCAUCUGCCUACAAUGCAGGAGACCCAGGUUCAAUCCCUGGGUCGGGAA